UACAGAGACUGCAAGCGUUAUUCGGAUUCACUGGGCGUAAAGCGCGUGUAGGCGGCUUGGUAAGUCUGCUCUGAAAGCCCGGGGCUCAACCCUGGGAGGCGGGUGGAUACUGCUGGGCUCGAGUCCGGAAGAGGCGAGUGGAAUUCCUGGUGUAGCGGUGGAAUGCGCAGAUAUCAGGAGGAACACCAAUGGCGAAGGCAGCUCGCUGGGACGGUACUGACGCUAAGGCGCGAAAGCGUGGGGAGCGAACAGG
This 253-nucleotide ribosomal RNA is filed under the name uncultured bacterium. RNAcentral's name for it is "partial 16S ribosomal RNA". It matches the Rfam family "Bacterial small subunit ribosomal RNA", at positions 524 to 776 of the family's 1533-position model. The record is from RNAcentral.